RNAcentral lists this ribosomal RNA (296 nucleotides) under uncultured bacterium. Its description in RNAcentral is "partial 16S ribosomal RNA". It matches the Rfam family "Bacterial small subunit ribosomal RNA", at positions 775 to 1067 of the family's 1533-position model. The record is from RNAcentral.
GGAUUAGAUACCCUGGUAGUCCACGCCGUAAACGAUGGGUACUAGUUGGUGCGGGUAUUGACCCCUGCGCUGACGCAGCUAACGCAUUAAGUACCCCGCCUGGGGAGUACGGCCGCAAGGCUAAAACUCAAAGGAAUUGACGGGGGCCCGCACAAGCGGUGGAGCAUGUGGAUUAAUUCGAAGCAACGCGAAGAACCUUACCUGGCCUUGACAUCCUAGGAACUCUCCCGAAAAGGAGAGGUGCCCUUCGGGGAAUCUAGUGAAAGGUGCUGCAUGGCCGUCGUCAGCUCGUGUUG